GCCUUCGUGGUGCAACUGGAAGCACGCUUGAUUCGUAUUCGGGAGAUCCCAAGAUCGAAUCCCAGCGAAGGCA
This 73-nucleotide transfer RNA is filed under the name Stegodyphus mimosarum. It matches the Rfam family "tRNA". From Rfam's summary of the family: Transfer RNA (tRNA) molecules are approximately 80 nucleotides in length. The record is from Rfam by way of RNAcentral. Lineage: Eukaryota; Metazoa; Arthropoda; Arachnida; Araneae; Eresidae.